Molecule: long non-coding RNA, 371 nt
Filed under: Phascolarctos cinereus (koala)
Lineage: Eukaryota; Metazoa; Chordata; Mammalia; Diprotodontia; Phascolarctidae
Description: lncRNA (ENSPCIG00000017938.2)
Source: RNAcentral
CUUCAUGUUAGGAUAAGCCCUCUGCCUCUAGUGCCAUGUAUAAGAGUUUUAGUUCAAACAGCUGAUCUGUAUGUAUUUCAAACAAAUGCAUUUCUCUUUAUAUCUGCCCUUUCCCCCACCCUUUUGGAAAUGGCAUCUUCCAUUUCUCUGGCAGCGCCUGGCAAUAAAGCAGAACCAUGCACCCAGCAACACCUUUGAUCUCGACCAUAUGGAGUUCCUCCUUGCUCUUGAAAAAAUCUCCCUUGUCUCCGAGAGAAACUGGGGCCCCCAGAUGGCCACAUACCACUCCUGACCACGACUUCAUUGAUUAUGCUAUUUUCUGAUUGGUCCUGAUUGAAAAUAAAUAAAACGUGCCUUUGGAAUGGGAUGCA